This is a long non-coding RNA of Oncorhynchus masou masou (cherry salmon), 1270 nucleotides long. RefSeq lists it as uncharacterized. The transcript has 3 exons. The record is from RefSeq and is a predicted model, not a curated record. Lineage: Eukaryota; Metazoa; Chordata; Actinopteri; Salmoniformes; Salmonidae.
UUCUUCGAUGAGAAAAUGCUAAAAUAUCGGCCCAAAUCCAUCUCUUUCCAUCUUCUCCCACUGCCACCCAGAGUGUAAUCGUCAAGCGGAUGCUUCACAUUUAUACAUCCGGUGAAAUAUCUGUCUCAUUGUUCUAUCUGUGAUGUCGCUGUUGAACUGUGGUAGUGGAGGAACAGGAAGUAAAAAAAACAACAAAGAAAGCCGCAGAACUGUGCUGUCGAAACGAUAGCUUUUGUAUUACUACAGGACGACUAGAAUUAAGUCUGAGGCCGGUAACAUCAACAGUGAGGACAAACCCAGCCUGCCUCUCUCCUUCCACACUGAGUCCAAACCUACAGUCACUGGGUCCUGAUUGUGACAGUGGAGCCCAGUUUGCACUGCAGGAUCCAGAGAUGGCAUCAGUGAAGCUGGAAGACUGCAGUCCAACAAUGGAGCUGAAUGUCAACAUUAAAGAUGAAGAAGAGGAGGAGAAGAUUGGGGAAUCUGUUUCUCAUGGAGACCAUGUUGAGACAUUCUCUACAUCCAGAGAGCAACAGCCGGGAAGAUCACAGAGUUAAGAGGUCUCACCACUGCCCACAUUGUGAGGAGAUUUUCCCAUUUCUAUCAAAGCUUAAAAUACACAUAAAAAUACACACAGGAGAGAAUCCGUAUUCCUGCACUAACUGUGGAAAGAGAUUCACAACAUCACAAUCUCUGACAGUUCAUCAGAGAGUGCACACUGGAGAGAAGCCUUACUCUUGCUCUGUAUGUGGGAAGAGGUUCUCUCAACAGAUCCACUUGCAAACACACCAACAUGUACAUACAGGAGUGAAGCCAUACUCCUGCUCUGAGUGUGGGAAGAGGUUCUCUCAACAGAUCCACUUGCAAACACACCAACAUGUACAUACAGGAGUGAAGCCAUACUCCUGCUCUGACUGUGGGAAGACUUUCUCCCGAUUGGAUACCUUAAAAAACAUGAACGUAUACAUACAGGUGAGAAUCCAUAUUCCUGUACUGACUGUGGGAAGACUUUCUCCCGAUUGAUACCUUAAAAACACAUGAACGUAUACAUACAGGUGAGAAUCCAUAUUCCUGUACUGACUGCGGGAAGAGCUUCACAACGUCAGGGACACUAAUAAUUCAUCAGAGAGUGCACACUGGAGAGAAGCCUUACUCCUGCUCUGGCUGUGAGAAGAGGUUCUCUCAACAUAUCCACUUACAAAAACACAAACGUCUACAUACAGGAGAGAAGCCUUACUGCUGCUCUGACGGUGGGAAGAGUUUCUUUCAA